UGUACUAAGCCAAUUUGGUAUCCACACUAAGUUUGACAUCAGUGUGGUCCAGGCUGCCUAAGGAGGGGUGAACUGGCCCAGACCAGAACCAGAGCAGGUCAAAACUCCUGUGCUGAUGAGUAGUGGGAUCGUGCCUGUGAAUAGGCG
This 147-nucleotide small RNA is filed under the name Papio anubis (olive baboon). Its description in RNAcentral is "Metazoan signal recognition particle RNA (ENSPANG00000036143.2)". It matches the Rfam family "Metazoan signal recognition particle RNA", at positions 89 to 258 of the family's 299-position model. Rfam says of the family: The signal recognition particle (SRP) is a universally conserved ribonucleoprotein. It is involved in the co-translational targeting of proteins to membranes. Lineage: Eukaryota; Metazoa; Chordata; Mammalia; Primates; Cercopithecidae. The record is from Rfam by way of RNAcentral.